Molecule: long non-coding RNA, 5451 nt
Organism: Aedes albopictus (Asian tiger mosquito)
Lineage: Eukaryota; Metazoa; Arthropoda; Insecta; Diptera; Culicidae
Exons: 3
Source: RefSeq, a predicted model, not a curated record
CGUAAUUUGUGGAUGGCGCCUAAUCGGAAUUUGGGAAGCGAGAGUAGACAUUGCCCACCAAUUGUUAAGGAAUUUUUCGGAAUAACUUUUGAACUUCGAAGAAUCCAUUCAGAAGUGGAUAACUGACACUGAAGAAGUGAAACACCAAUUGCACAAUUAUGGGUCACUCUGUAACUCUGUAACUUAGACGAUUCGAGAUGCGGUACAAGCUUUUCCUCAAUCGACCUCCUGGCAAACGAAUUGCUGGAGUAGAUUGUCUACGAUAUCGCGCUCCAUUUUCCUUUGAAUGUUGCUAGAAAAUGAAACCGUACAUCAGAAAAAACUCCUACAAGAGUUCCUCUGAAAUUCUUUCAUAAGAGUCCCGAGAAUUUCUUCAGGAGUUGAGUUUCCCAAGAAUUCUUCCAGGAAUUUCUCUACAAGUUCCUCCAGGAGUUCCUCGGAGUACAGGAGUUCCACGGCAAUUCCUCCAGGACUUCCUCGUUAAUUCCUCCAGGUGAUCUUCGGGAAUUCCACAAGGAGCUCUUAGGAAAUUCCUCCACAAGUUCUUCGGGAACUUAUCUAGGGGUUCAUCAGGGGUUCCCCGGCAUUUUUUUCCAGAAGUUCCCCGGAAAUUCCUCCAGGAAUGCCUCGGGAAUUCUUUCAGGAAUUCCCCGGAAAUUCCUACAGGAGUUUCUCGGGAAUUCCUCUAGGACUUCAUCGGGAAUUCCUCUAGGAGAUCGUCAGCAGUUUCUCGGAAAUUCUUCUAGGAGUUUCGGGAAUUCCUGCAGAAGAACCUCGGGAGUUACUCCAGAAGAUUCUCGUAAAUUCUUCCAGGAGUUCCACGAGAAUUCCUUCAGAUGAUCAUCGAAAAAUCCCCCAGGUGUUUCUCAGAAAAAUCCCUCAGGAGAUCCAUGGAAAUCCUUAAGGGAAUCUACGAGAAUUUGUCCAAAAGAUCCUCAACAAUUCCUCUAAGACAGGCCUGCCCAACCUUUAACGAUCGCGGGCCAUAUUUUACACUCCACACCUGUUGACGGGCCAGAAUUGAAAUUUUAUAAUCCAUACGUUUUCUUGAAACUUUUCUUAGCAUUUCUUGCCAAGGCUAUGGCUAAUUCCUAUAAAUCCAAAUUCGUUCAAAUUCUGGAAUAAUUUUGGAGUUGGUGAAGAUAUUGUAAAAAGUUGUCUUCAUAAACGAAGAUUCGUAUUUUUUGUGUUGUCCCAGAACUUGCCGGAAUUUUGAGAUUAUAGCCACAUAAAUAAAAUCUCAAAAAUACACAAGAAUUGUUAUUGAAUCUUCUAUGAAUUUUAAGAUUUUUUUUCCUUCCGCUGUUGGAGAAAAUUAAGCCAUUGCGCACAAUAAACUGAAGUUUUGAACCGAAUUUCUGAAAAUGAGUAGAAUUACUUUGAGGUUACGCUGACAUGUUUGUUUUUAAAUUGCAAUGUGCAAUGUCAGCCAGAAUUCUGAAAAUUUUGCAAACAUUUCAAAGUUCAUUGUGAAAAUUUGAGGCCUCCCUUGGCCGAAAUUCUUACAGAACUCAAUAUAACUGAUUGAAAAUCUUUGAAAAUUUACCUAAAAAUAUAUGUCAAACUUGUUUUGAAAAUAUAAUUCAUUGGAAAAAGAGAAACAUUCAAAAUAAUUGCUCCACCGGCCAAAAGUCAUAACUUUUCUUCAUUCGUGCCGCGGGCCGCAUGAAAUGUCCUCGCGGGCCGGAUGCGGCCCGCGGGCCGUACGUUGAGCAGCCCUGCUCUAGGAGUUUCUUUAGAAUUCAUUCACGGAUCCUCAGGAAUUCCUUCAAGAGAUUCUCCGGUAUUUCUACAGGAGAUCCUCGGUACAUUCCUUCCAGGAGUUCUUCGGGAAUUCUUGCAUGAGUUCCUCGGGAGUUCCUCCAGAAAAUUCCUUCAGGAAUUCCUUAAAAAGUUUCUCGGGAAAACCCAGGAGUUCCUUGGGAAAUCCUCUUGGGAUUCCUCGGUAAUUUCCCGAGGAGUUACAUGUUUCUCGGGAAUCCCUCCACGAAUUCAACGAGCAGUUUUUUCAUAGUUUCUCGAGGUUCUUUUGCGGCAGUUCUUCGGGAAUUCCUCUUGGUCCCCAGAAAACCUACUGUAAGAGUUUUCUGGGAAUUCCCGACGAUUAGGUAAGAUCCAGAUGAAUUUCUGAUAAACUACUGAAAUAUUUCCCGAGAAUCUUCUGGAAGAAUUCCCGAGAAAAUGAUAGAGGGAUUCUCGAUGAACUUCUGGAGGAGUUCCUAGUUCCUAGUUUUUUGGGGAUUCUUCUAGAAGUUACACCAUAAUUCUUUCAGAGUUCCUCGGGAAUUUCUCCUCGAGUUCCUCGGAAAUUCUUCAAGAGAUUCUCGGGUAUGUCUCUAGGUGUUUCGGGAAUUCCUCCAGGAGUUUCUUGAUAAUUCUCAAAGGAGAUUUUUUUGGGAGAUCCCGUGUAACUUCUAGAGAAAUCCCAAAAAAAAAAAUCCGAUGAACUCCAGGAGGAAUCUCCGAGGAACUCCUAGAAGAAUUCCGAGGAGUACAUGAAGCAAUUUUCCAAUAAAUUUUCUAGCAACUCCUAUGGGAAUUUAAGAGGAUUUCAUAGAAGAAUUCUCAAGGAAUUUCUGAAGAACUCCUGAAAAAGUUGUUGGCAAACUCCUGGAGGAAUUUGCAAGGAACUUCUGAAGAAAAUUCGGAGGAACUCAUGUAGAAUUUCCCGAGGAGCUUCUAGAAGAAUUUUCAAGGAACUCCUGGUGGAAUUCCCAAGGAACUCCUAAAAGGAUUCUCAAGGAACCCCUAAAGGAAUUCUCGAAAACCUGCUGGAUUAAUUUCCGAGGAACUCCUGAAGAAAUUCUCUUGGAACUCCAGAAUGAAUACCCGAGGAGUUCUUAGAUGAAUUCUCGAGAAACUCCUAGUAGAGUUUCUGAGUUAUUCCGGUGAAAUUUCUGAGGAACUUCUGGAAGAAUUUCCAAGGAACUCUUGGAGGAAAGGAAUUCCCGAGGCGCUCCAGAGGAAUUCUCAAAGAACUCCUUGAAGGAAUUUCUGAAGGAAUUCCCGAGUAACUCCUGGAGGAAUAAAAAAAACUCUAGGAGAAAUUCUCGAGGAAUACAUGAAGAAAUUUUCUGGGAGCUCCUGAAAGGAUUCCCGACGAGCUGCUGGAGACAUUUUCGAGGAAUUCAGGUAGGAUUUCUUGAGGAACUCCCAGAAGAAUUUUUGAGGAACUUCUGGAGAAAAUACCGAGGAACUCCCGGAGUAAUUCGCUUGGAACUCCUGGAGGAAUUUCCGAGGAACUCCUAGAUGAAUUCUCGAGCAACUCUUGGUGGAAUUCCUGAGAAACUUCUGGGAGAAUUUCUGAGGAACUCUUAAAGGAUUUACUGAGGAAUUCCCGAGGAACUCCUAAAGGAAUUCUCGAGGAACACCAAUUCCCGAAGAACUCCAGGAUGAAUUCCCGAGGAACUUCUGGGAGAAUUUCCGAAGCCCUCCAGAAAAAAAAAAUCGGCAAACUCCUGGAGGAAUUUCCAGGAAACUGAAAGAAUUCCUGAGGUACCCCAGGUGGAAUAUCCGAAGAACACCUCCAAGAAUUCCUGAGGUAUUCCUGAUGAAAUCCUGUAGAAAUUCCCGUGGAACUUUAAGAGAGAUUCUCGAGGGACUACUGGAGAAAUCUUAACAGGCUUGAACAAAUCUUCGGAUAAGUCUGCGGAAAAUUCUGGAUGAAGCACUGUUUAAAAUUCAAACGAAGUUCUGGGGAGAAUUUCCGAUAAUAUCCGAUACCUUGGUAAUAUUCUAGAAGCAACCUCUGUUUUUGGAGAUUUUUGAAAUAUUGAAGAAUACCCAGUUCAAUUCCCAGAGGAAUUUUGUUGAUGCAAAUUUUAUAUUGUGUAAACAAUUGCGGAUGAAAAAAUAAAUCAAAAGAUAAGCAUACUUCCUAAAAUUUCCAUGACAUGGUGGUCGUCUAAUUUGAUUCGUAUUUUAACUAAAAACUGCUUCAAAAGUUCUGCCAAUAGGCUCCUAAAGGCCUAUCUCAAUUUCUGCAUAAUUCGAUCAAGCAUUGAUUAAAACGACAUGUUUACUCAUUUUUUAAGUAUUCCUAUUAGGUAAAGGCCAUAAAAUAUAUUUUCAAAAAUUUUAAUAAUUUUUGCAACACUCCUUGUUUAGCACUCAAUUUUGGGUAAAUUUUGUUUACCGUGUAUGUCAAACAGGAACAUUUGUUGUCAAAAGUGAGCCAAUGUGGUGUCUUUUGCAACCCGCCGUUUCAUUUUCGUUACGUCAAGGUUGACCUCGAAUGUCAAACAAGACUUGCUCAUCAUUAUUUUAUUUUCGAGUUUAUUAACUCAAGAGCAAAUUUUCAAUCCGACCUAAGUAACAAAAUAAACAAAAAUGAGAUUUUUGCAUAUAAUGAUACCUAACGGACUGCUUAACACUGUUAUGCAAGGACAAAAGUUAAAAGUAGUCAAAAACCUUAGAAAUUUCAAAAAUCAAAUUGACUCAAGUAACAUACUGAGCACUUUUCGUAUGUGUCGCUUUGUCGGUACAAUGACUUAUGUAACGCGCAUAACUCUCAAGCGACGUAACAGUGCCGUCAAAAAGACCUAACAACCAAAAUGUUGUCAACAUAAAUCAUAAUUGUUUACGUCAAAACUAAAACUGACCUUAAUUAAAUCACCUGUACAAUCCCCAGCGGGUUACCUUCUAUAAGAGACUCGUUCGAUAUUUUCCAGGACUCGCUUGAUGAAUCGCACCAGAAAGGAGACCGUUCGAUGGCAGAUCCGGAUGAUGGUGUACCGAAUAUGCAAAUAUAUCUACUCGGUGUACCGAUAUCUAAACAUCGCCAAGCCUCUGUACCCGGAACACUUUGGUAAGCUUGAGUGCCUCGAACCGACCACCAGUCCUCGAUUCACAGGGGCGAUGUUGCUGACCACAAACUUUUUGGUGAAUUCGAGGUGGGUCUGGCACUAAAAGCCUUGUGUCGCCAGAGAUGGCCCGUUGCUUGUCCGACGAAGUGAAAUCCCAUAGAAAUCUUUCUGGUAGCGAACCGAUCACAGCUGUGCAGGAAGAAACACGGUAUCAAUCGCUGGCGUUAUUAUUAAGGGAAUGUGAGAGAAGAACCGGGAGGUGCAGGUGAAAAUCCUCCUUAUUAAAAAAAAACUCAAACCCAACGACCAGGACGCUAAUGCCAUCAGAGACGUGCAAAAACAUCGAGAACUAUAUUCAGUAUGGGUGCUCACGAACAGUAUCAGAACCAUACAGUGACCACGAACUCUGUAUUAUCUUGGAAUAUCUCAAUUUCUGGACAUAUGGAUACGAUGUCGGGGAUCUCGUUCAUCCUGAUCGAUUUCCAGCACACAUUGGUGAAGUUCAUGAAGUUAUUGUUUGUUCUGAAAACACUGAAAAAAUAAACCGAUUCCAUUGCCUUCCAGAAGCUCAACUGCGUCAGUCAAACUUGAGAUAAAAUGUCUGUUUUUUUUUAAAUAAUUAUCAAUAAAGGAAAUAUUUACCACA